This 332-nucleotide unclassified non-coding RNA is filed under the name soil metagenome. Its description in RNAcentral is "partial contains 5.8S ribosomal RNA, internal transcribed spacer 2, and large subunit ribosomal RNA". The stretch from base 1 to 120 matches the Rfam family "5.8S ribosomal RNA", at positions 35 to 154 of the family's 154-position model. The record is from RNAcentral.
GAUGAAGAACGUAGCAAAAUGCGAUAAGUAAUGUGAAUUGCAGAAUUCAGUGAAUCAUCGAAUCUUUGAACGCACAUUGCGCCCGCCAGUAUUCUGGCGGGCAUGCCUGUUCGAGUGUCAUUUCAACCCUCAAGCACAGCUUGGUGUUGGGACUCGCGUUAAUUCGCGUUCCUCAAAUUGAUUGGCGGUCACGUCGAGCUUCCAUAGCGUAGUAGUAAAACCCUCGUUACUGGUAAUCGUCGCGGCCACGCCGUUAAACCCCAACUUCUGAAUGUUGACCUCGGAUCAGGUAGGAAUACCCGCUGAACUUAAGCAUAUCAAUAAGCGGAGGA